UUGAGAGAAGAGCAUACACAGAGAGAGAAAACGGGAGAGGAAGGAAGCCGCAUCACGGGGGCGGCCACAUCGAAGGUUUCCGCGGCGGAAGUCGCCGGCAACGAGAUGCUCGGCGAUCCCGGCGCCCCUCCAGAGUCCUCGCGCCCUGCUGGUGAGCUAGGGGAUAUAUGGUGCGAAUCUAGAUUCUGGGAUGGAGUUUGCAAAUGGAGAUGACGAUUUUUGGCACAUACAUGUUGUGCAAAUGCACUUGAAGAUAGCAAGGUGCAGGUGGCAGGUUCCAGCGACGGCGCCACUACCCCUGCUCGACGCGACCCCUUGCGGUGGCUGGCCUUGUUUGGCAGCCAUCCGGCGGCUGCUGCUCUGCGCUGGCCGGUGCUUCCCUACAUCGACGGUGACGACACGUGGUUUCCCUCUCGGUGCUGACGGUCCUCUCCGGCGGUCUGCUUCCCCGUCUCCUGCCUGCUCUACUUCGGCGGUAUUUGGGGUUCUGGUCUUGGGCCGGGGCGAAAUCCCUGCGCAGCGAUGACCUGCGCUGACAACGGCGACACCUGAGAGUGCCGUAACCUCCACAGAGGCGCUGUCAUGGCCCAGACUGACCCUCUCCUCGAGCACCGGGGGAAACCCUUGGUCCAGUUCAUUGGACAAGGCAGCGGCGGCGUCUCAGCGCCAUUCCCUUCUUGAAGGCGUUGCUUGGGUCGCACUUGGAGUCCCCGAUGCGGCAACUGGAGAUGGUGGCCUCCCCGGUCUUCCGGCGAGGCUUGCUGGUAAUGCAAUGCUGUGAUGAGUGCUUCAGCAUAGAGCGUGGGCGUCCGGGGCGCUAUGUACGCCGGCGCCGGCAUGUCCAAGACGAUGGCUUCACUAGUCCUGGUUGGGUCCUGCCAUCCACCUGCCGUCUCCUAGGCACUUAUGGGUGGAAGGUACGUUGGCCUGGACAGCCCUGGAGAUGCGAUCUUCUUUGGAGGCGCCUGGCAACGGCUGUGAUGUGGCCUUGAGGCUCUGAGUCUAGUUACCUCACCGUUCAUGGUUGGAGGCUGGACAAGGCUAAACCUUUCGUAGUUGCAGUCUGUAGUUGGUAGCACCUCCUCGCCUGCUCGUUUGGUGAGGACGAUGAUGUGUGUGCGUGUGUCCCUCCUCUUGGGAGGUUGUACCUGUACUACUGUUCUCUUCCUGUUCAAUGAAAUGAAACGCAAAC
Triticum aestivum (bread wheat) is the source of this 1192-nucleotide long non-coding RNA. RefSeq lists it as uncharacterized. The record is from RefSeq and is a predicted model, not a curated record. Lineage: Eukaryota; Viridiplantae; Streptophyta; Magnoliopsida; Poales; Poaceae. The transcript has 3 exons.